Molecule: long non-coding RNA, 366 nt
Filed under: Panax ginseng (ginseng)
Lineage: Eukaryota; Viridiplantae; Streptophyta; Magnoliopsida; Apiales; Araliaceae
Description: long non-coding RNA (PGIN_LNC017292)
Source: RNAcentral
CCUGACUCCCUUUCCAGGAAUAAAAAUUAUAAUUUUAAAUUAACACCUAUUCCACUAAGAAUACAUUAUUCCGUUGGACUAAACAAAUCAAACAAUAUUUUUAUCAUUCUAAUAAAAUGAUUCAUUCCAUUUUUCCUCCUAUUCCAUCGAUCCAAACUUAGCAUAAGGCCUCAUUAAGAGUAAUUCAUUAUCUGAUGUGAUAAUUUUUCACACUAUUUGUAGUUAUGCUGAAGCCCUGGCUUUACAUUGUCAAGGAAAAAUAUGAUUCAUAACCUAUCUCAGGAUUUAAUUACCCAGUGAAGCUGCUUUCAAAACAGAGCUUCACCAUGCAUGUCAGAAUUUUACUUAUAAUUGUUAUGCUAGCAU